RNAcentral lists this ribosomal RNA (444 nucleotides) under uncultured Glomus. Its description in RNAcentral is "SSU rRNA". It matches the Rfam family "Eukaryotic small subunit ribosomal RNA", at positions 654 to 1098 of the family's 1831-position model. The record is from RNAcentral. Lineage: Eukaryota; Fungi; Glomeromycota; Glomeromycetes; Glomerales; Glomeraceae.
AUAACGGUCAUGCCGUUGGCAUGUGCUGUUAUAAUUGAUUUCUCACCUUCUAAGGAACCGUAAUGCCAUUAAUUUGGUGUCACGGGGAAUUAGGACUGUUGCCUUGAAAAAAUUAGAGUGUUUAAAGCAGGCUCACGCUUGAAUACAUUAGCAUGGAAUAAUGAAAUAGGACAUCCGAUUCUAUUUUGUUGGUUUCUAGGAUCGAUGUAAUGAUUAAUAGGGAUAUUGGGGGCAUUAGUAUUCAAUUGUCAGAGGUGAAAUUCUUGGAUUUAUUGAAGACUAACUACUGCGAAAGCAUUUACCAAGGAUGUUUUCAUUAAUCAAGAACGAAAGUUAGGGGAUCGAAGACGAUCAGAUACCGUCGUAGUCUUAACCAUAAACUAUGCCGACUAGGGAUCGGAUGAUGUUAAUUUUUAAUGACUCAUUCGGCGCCUUACGGGAAAC